This 464-nucleotide ribosomal RNA is filed under the name uncultured bacterium. Its description in RNAcentral is "bacterial SSU rRNA". It matches the Rfam family "Bacterial small subunit ribosomal RNA", at positions 28 to 507 of the family's 1533-position model. The record is from RNAcentral.
GACGAACGCUGGCGGCGUGCUUAACACAUGCAAGUCGAACGAUGAUGCCAGCUUGCUGGUGGAUUAGUGGCGAACGGGUGAGUAACACGUGGGUGAUUUGCCCCAAACUUUGGGAUAAGCCUGGGAAACUGGGUUUAAUACCGGAUAGUACCUUCCCUUGCAUGGGGGUUGGUGGAAAGCUCCGGCGGUUUGGGAUGGGCCCGCGGCCUAUCAGCUUGUUGGUGGGGUAAUGGCCUACCAAGGCGACGACGGGUAGCCGGCCUGAGAGGGCGACCGGCCACACUGGGACUGAGACACGGCCCAGACUCCUACGGGAGGCAGCAGUGGGGAAUAUUGCACAAUGGGCGCAAGCCUGAUGCAGCGACGCCGCGUGAGGGAUGACGGCCUUCGGGUUGUAAACCUCUUUCACCAGGGACGAAGCGUGAGUGACGGUACCUGGAGAAGAAGCACCGGCCAACUACGUG